CGGGACGGGUGAGUAAUGUCUGGGAAACUGCCUGAUGGAGGGGGAUAACUACUGGAAACAGUAGCUAAUACCGCAUAACGUCGCAAGACCAAAGAGGGGGACCUUAGGGCCUCUUGCCAUCGGAUGUGCCCAGAUGGGAUUAGCUAGUAGGUGGGGUAACGGCUCACCUAGGCGACGAUCCCUAGCUGGUCUGAGAGGAUGACCAGCCACACUGGAACUGAGACACGGUCCAG
This 233-nucleotide ribosomal RNA is filed under the name uncultured bacterium. Its description in RNAcentral is "partial 16S ribosomal RNA". It matches the Rfam family "Bacterial small subunit ribosomal RNA", at positions 100 to 334 of the family's 1533-position model. The record is from RNAcentral.